RNAcentral lists this transfer RNA (70 nucleotides) under Camelus bactrianus (Bactrian camel). It matches the Rfam family "tRNA". Rfam says of the family: Transfer RNA (tRNA) molecules are approximately 80 nucleotides in length. Their secondary structure includes four short double-helical elements and three loops (D, anti-codon, and T loops). Further hydrogen bonds mediate the characteristic L-shaped molecular structure. tRNAs have two regions of fundamental functional importance: the anti-codon, which is responsible for specific mRNA codon recognition, and the 3' end, to which the tRNAs corresponding amino acid is attached (by aminoacyl-tRNA synthetases). tRNAs cope with the degeneracy of the genetic code in two manners: having more than one tRNA (with a specific anti-codon) for a particular amino acid; and 'wobble' base-pairing, i.e. permitting non-standard base-pairing at the 3rd anti-codon position. RNAcentral also lists the same sequence under 1 other name. The record is from Rfam by way of RNAcentral. Lineage: Eukaryota; Metazoa; Chordata; Mammalia; Artiodactyla; Camelidae.
GGGUAUAUAGCUCAGUGGUAGGGCGCAUGCUUAGCAGGCAUGAGAUCUUGGGUUCAAUCCCCAGCACCUG